GUCACCUGCACCAGGUGCAACCUGUUACUAAAGGUAACCUGCACCAGGUGCAACCUGUCACUAAAGGUAACCUGCACCAGGUGCAACCUGUUACUAAAGGUAACCU
This is a long non-coding RNA of Haliotis rubra (blacklip abalone), 106 nucleotides long. RefSeq lists it as uncharacterized. The record is from RefSeq and is a predicted model, not a curated record. NCBI's taxonomy places the organism in Eukaryota, Metazoa, Mollusca, Gastropoda, Lepetellida, Haliotidae. The transcript has 3 exons.